GAUGAACGCUGGCGGCGGGCCUAAUACAUGCAAGUCGAGCGGAAGGACGAUAAACUUGCUUCUCUGAUGUUAGCGGCGGACGGGUGAGUAACACGUGGAUAACCUACCUAUAAGACUGGGAUAACUUCGGGAUACCGGAGCUAAUACCGGAUGAUAUUUUGCACCGCAUGGUUCAAAAGUGAAAGACGGUCUUGCUGUCACUUAUGGAUGGAUACGCGUUGGAUUAGCUAGUUGGUAGGGUAGCGGCUUACCAAGGCAACGAUGCGUAGCGGAUCUGAGAGGAAGGUACACCACAUUGGAACCGCGGCACGGUCCACACUGCUAGGGGAGGCAGGAGUGAGGAAUAUUAGGCACUGGACGGAAGUCUGAAACAGCCAAGUAGCGUGCAGGAUGACGGCGCUAUGGGUUGUAAGCUGCUUUUGUAUGGGGAUAAAGUUAGGGACGGGGCCCUAUUUGCAGGUACCAUACGAAUAAGGACCGGCUAAUUCCGUG
This 492-nucleotide ribosomal RNA is filed under the name uncultured bacterium. RNAcentral describes it as "partial 16S ribosomal RNA". It matches the Rfam family "Bacterial small subunit ribosomal RNA", at positions 28 to 507 of the family's 1533-position model. The record is from RNAcentral.